GACGAACGCUGGCGGCGUGCCUAAUACAUGCAAGUUGAGCGCUGAAGGUUGGUACUUGUACCAACUGGAUGAGCAGCGAACGGGUGAGUAACGCGUGGGGAAUCUGCCUUUGAGCGGGGGACAACAUUUGGAAACGAAUGCUAAUACCGCAUAAAAACUUUAAACACAAGAUUUAAGUUUGAAAGAUGCAAUUGCAUCACUCAAAGAUGAUCCCGCGUUGUAUUAGCUAGUUGGUGAGGUAAAGGCUCACCAAGGCGAUGAUACAUAGCCGACCUGAGAGGGUGGUCGGCCACAAUGGGACUGAGACACGGCCCAAACUCCUACGGGAGGCAGCAGUAGGGAAUCUUCGGCAAUGGACGAAAGUCUGGCCGAGCAACGCCGCGUGAGUGAAGAAGGUUUUCGGAUCGUAAAACUCUGUUGGUAGAGAAGAACGUUGGUGAGAGUGGAAAGCUCAUCAAGUGACGGUAACUACCCAGAAAGGGACGGCUAACUACGUG
RNAcentral lists this ribosomal RNA (497 nucleotides) under uncultured bacterium. RNAcentral describes it as "partial 16S ribosomal RNA". It matches the Rfam family "Bacterial small subunit ribosomal RNA", at positions 28 to 507 of the family's 1533-position model. The record is from RNAcentral.